Molecule: ribosomal RNA, 465 nt
Filed under: uncultured bacterium
Lineage: Bacteria
Description: partial 16S ribosomal RNA
Rfam family: Bacterial small subunit ribosomal RNA
Source: RNAcentral
CCUACGGGGGGCAGCAGUGGGGAAUAUUGCGCAAUGGGCGAAAGCCUGACGCAGCGACGCCGCGUGAGGGAUGAAGGUCUUCGGAUCGUAAACCUCUGUCAGCAGGGAAGAACGGUCACUGUGCUAAUCAGCAGUGAAUUGACGGUACCUGCAAAGGAAGCACCGGCUAACUCCGUGCCAGCAGCCGCGGUAAUACGGAGGGUGCGAGCGUUAAUCGGAAUUACUGGGCGUAAAGCGCUCGUAGGCGGUAUGUCAAGUCAAGGGUGAAAGCCCCGGGCUCAACGUGGGAACUGCCUUGGAAACUGGCAAACUGGAGUGUGUGAGAGGAUAGUGGAAUUCCAGGUGUAGGAGUGAAAUCCGUAGAUAUAUGGAGGAACAUCAGUGGCGAAGGCGACUAUCUGGCACAUAACUGACGCUGAGGAGCGAAAGCGUGGGUAGCAAACAGGAUUAGAUACCCCAGUAGUC